RNAcentral lists this ribosomal RNA (114 nucleotides) under uncultured bacterium. Its description in RNAcentral is "partial 16S ribosomal RNA". It matches the Rfam family "Bacterial small subunit ribosomal RNA", at positions 1369 to 1482 of the family's 1533-position model. The record is from RNAcentral.
CGUUCCCGGGUCUUGUACACACCGCCCGUCACACCACGAGAGUUUACAACACCCGAAGUCGGUGAGGUAACCGCAAGGAGCCAGCCGCCGAAGGUGGGGUAGAUGGUUGGGGUG